UUGAAAGGGAAACGAUUGAAGUCAGUCGUACCAGCGGGAAAUCAACCUUUCGAGUGGGGGUUUUGGAGUUUUGAAGAGUUUCAAAACCUUUGAGAUUUCAAAAAUUUCGCUCUUUUGGUGUACUUUCUCGUGGGUAGGUUAACAUCGAUUCUGAUCAUCAUAAAAAGAUUGGAGGAAUGUAGCUUCGAUCUUGUAUUGAAGUGUUAUAGCCUUUGGUAAAUGUGAUGAUUAGGAUCGAGGAUUGCAACGAAUACCCUUUUGGGCUAUCCGCCUGAUCUCUGAUACGUGGCCUUGGUAUCGAAAGCUUGCUUAUGGUAUUGAGGUAUUACGGUCAAAAGGUUAGAACGGAUUACAUUCGUUAAGGAUGUUGACGUA
RNAcentral lists this ribosomal RNA (375 nucleotides) under uncultured Glomeromycotina. Its description in RNAcentral is "LSU rRNA". The record is from RNAcentral. Lineage: Eukaryota; Fungi; Glomeromycota.